GCGUGUUUGUCCGUAGAACAUACCCAGCCGUCUAGUAGAGCCUUAAAUACACGAAGUUCACAGUGUUUAAUAUAUGUGUAGUUCGCAAACAGUCGGAUCAAAAGUCGGGCUAUUUUCUCAUAUGGGAAAUGUGUGUAUACGUGACGCCUAAGGUAACCGCCCACGGAGACGACGAAGGUCAAGCGAAGUCUCUUCUUGCUGCGACAGAUUACGAGAAGAAAUCCCCCGAAGAUAUACACACGGCAAUUACGUAAGAAAAUUUGAAAGAGAGAUACGUGACUGAGGAAACAAGUUUAGAGUGAAGUUACAAAUAUUUAUCGAAACGUACAAGAAAGUACCUGACUUCGGCGACAGCACGAAAUACGUACACAAUUGUGUAUGCAGAGUGCAGAUAUUGCAUCGAAAGAAAUUUCACCGUCAUUAUUCUCGAUGACGUAUUUUCAUCCUCUCGUGGGAUUUAUUUCCGGCAACAAAAGGUUAGACGAAAAUACCUCUCGUUACUCUCUUUUGUUCCUGCGACUAUUGGGUAUUUUCCGUCGAGUAGCUGUGCACUUUACGGCGUGAAUUUAAGCGCGAAAACGACGGCACUUGUCCCAACGGGAAAGGAUUCCAAUUAUUCAAACGAACAACCACGACGAACAAAACUCAACAUUACUUGGUAUCUAUCCACCCUCAGCAAGAGCUGACGCCGCCUAUCGAAUUAUAUCGUUACGCUUCAAUUGGCUCAAUUUCUGUCACCCAGUACCCCUAAAGCCGUUACACCAUCACCUGGGGGAUGUACCGAAUCCGGAUAAGACUAACGAAAAUCGUAAACAAACGAAUCAGCCUCACCCACCGAUAUAGCUGGAUGAGCCAACUCCUGUUGGACCGAGUCGUCAACCCUUCUGCUCCAAAAAUUCGGUCGUCGUGACCCAGGUCAAAGCAGUCUUCCGACAUGAGACAAGACGUCGUCGCAGGAGCACGAUAAAUCGAAAGAGACACAGCGAGGAGCUAUGAAGAAUAAAUUUAAUCGUAACUCAGCGUGAAAUAAACAAACAACAAGUAUUCGAGUUAAGAGCUUACAUACGUUGGAUAAAGAUGAGAUAUUUACUAUGGCGCCGUCAGCCUCUAGAUUAACGUUCGUACACUAAUGGUGGAUCGUUUAUUAUCAGCCCUGGGAUUACAUGGAAUUAUUACCACUUCCAGCAUCGAGUCUCGAUAAACAAAUUGGAGGAUUUAUUGGCGCGACCACUGAUUUACCGUCGGUCAAAUAACGCGAUACGUUCGGAUAUAAUUUAUACGUUUAACGCGCUAGGAAACCAUUUUGCGAUUUAUAUAUACGUAACUGGGCUGGGUGAAACGUAGAGUCGUGCUGGUUAAUCGAACGAUUUGAUUCCUUGGGCUGAAAUUUUUCCUUUGUCAAAAAAAUUCGACUACAAUUCAACACGACUAAACCACUUGAAGUUACCUUCGAACAGAGAGAAGUUGUCUUGCUUCGGCUUUCAAGUGGGCUUAAGUUACGAGUGUGUAAAAGCUUCGUGGCGAGCAAUCGAUUCUAAAGUGUCGGAAAGGUUUAAAGUGGCGAUACAAGUGUCUCCUUAAAAAUCUAAUCACGACAGUUUUUCCCGGUUUUCAUAAGCAGAUUAGCUAGGCGUUAAAUCAUUUUUAUAAUCAUUCUGUAUGCAUACAAUCAUGCAUAUGCAGACACAAUUGUAUAUUCAAUUUUCUAUUGACAUAUAUACAUAUGAUUACAUAUGUAGAUAAAGCAUACGUAUAAGAUACAUCACAAUUUGGAACAAGGUGAAUUUUGAAUUUCAUUAUAUUCUUUUGCAAUUUUUAAGUGUAAACGAUAGAAGAGGAAUAAUUUCUUUCUAUAUGGAUUCUUAUCGGUAAUUCUUAAAACAUCCCAAGAGCCAAUACGAUUUUCUACAAUUCUUCAGCGUUAUAUUUUAGUUUGAACGAGUGGCAAAUACGAGGAUGGAUUAAUCGUAAAAAGUAACUGGAAAUAUUACUAGAACUAUCUAGUUACGUUAUAAAAAUGUUGCUCUUCGUGGCGGCAGACCUGUCGCGAAAACUUUUACUCGUGGCUCGAUCUAGCGGAUUUGCGUCGUAACAACUCGUAACAGUAAAUUGGAAGCGAUAGGAUCGAGACGGACGUGACAGUCGUACCGACGACCGUAAGUCUAGUCUCCCUCAAGUAAACGACGACGUCUUCGUCGUCAUCGUCAACGCGUUCCACGAUCCUAACAAACACAACCCAACAUAACAUAACCUCCAAGAUCUGGUUACGAGGAUCGAGAAAAGGCUCGACGAAUCGAUACCAAACGACAAUCGGAUUGAUGCUAUUCGCUUUGACUGUUUCUAGCUGAAACUUACACCAGCAGAACACGUGCUACUGUCCAAUACGUCUAUGCCCUGUAUUACGUCCCAUGUAUUACAACUGGAAUGACGUUUCUUCUGCACUCGGCGUUCUCCGAAGAAGAAUCCUCUGAGGAACCUCAUG
This is a long non-coding RNA of Cephus cinctus (wheat stem sawfly), 2482 nucleotides long. RefSeq lists it as uncharacterized. Lineage: Eukaryota; Metazoa; Arthropoda; Insecta; Hymenoptera; Cephidae. The record is from RefSeq and is a predicted model, not a curated record. The transcript has 4 exons.